Tetranychus urticae (two-spotted spider mite) is the source of this 1225-nucleotide long non-coding RNA. RefSeq lists it as uncharacterized. The record is from RefSeq and is a predicted model, not a curated record. NCBI's taxonomy places the organism in Eukaryota, Metazoa, Arthropoda, Arachnida, Trombidiformes, Tetranychidae.
UGUAUCACUAUAUUUAUAAACAAAAGAUGGCGUUAGUAGUUGCAUCAUAAUACAAAUGUAUUUUUAUUUCAACAAAAGGUAAUCAACUUGAAUCACUUAAAUUUCAUUAUUGUCAUUAAAAAUAUUCUUCAAGACAACAAGUUAAUCAUAAUUAAGAUGCCAACUCAUUGUAGACCAAGAAGACAGGUAUGACAAGAUGACUUCCCUUGUUAUGGCCAUUAUAAAGGUUAAAAGUGGACCAGGUUAAUCGUUGAUUAGUGUUCAAGAUGACGGAGAAGAGGACAAGAAGACAUGAAAAUAAACUUACAAUCAAGGUGACAUUUUCUAAGUUGAAUAACAUCCUGUCCAUGAACCAGCGAGUACAUAUUACGUCCCGUUAAUUCAUCCGCAUUAUAAUCCAAAAGAUCUGAUAUUCUGGUUUUUAAAGACAGUUUAAUGAUGUUUAUAUUAGAAAGGCAGAUUAAAGGAUAAUCAAACGAGGCGAGGAGAUAAAAUAUAAUGGUCAAAAAACAACAAGAUCAUUUAAAUAACACAACGAAAGCAAACGACACAAUCAUGACAGGCAGACAAACAAACAAACACAAAAAGGAUUCAUUGUUUUUAUCCACCAACAACGGCGAUAGUGAAAGGCUAACCUUCCUGAUAGUGAUAAAGAUAACAAUUACAAAUAAUAAAGGGUGGUUUAUUUAAUCGGUUGAGUUGACCUCAAAUAAAGGUCCUUCGAGGUCAUGGUUAUGAAUUUUACUGACAAUUUUAUGUUAUGUAGCUUGAAAAAUUUGAUUGUAGGCCCAAGUAAAUAAAAAAAUAAUCAUCAUAAUGAUAUAAUAGAAGGUAAACUUUGACUCUAUUACCAUUGUUUAAACCAAAUUGUUUUUUAGGGCUUUAAUUGCUGAACCGAGUAAUUAGAAUCUCUAAACUAACUAAAAACCAGUAACAACAAAACAGUUGAAAAAAAAGGAUCCUCCACUAGUUUCAAUGCAUUUGUUUUGAAACCUUUGACGAUAAAGAUGAUAAUGAUGACGAUCAUCAUCUGUCUUCUCUCUUCCUCUCAAUUCCUUUGGGUAGCGUUAAAAAUGAUGAUAUUUAUAUAAUACAUUACGAUUUGUGAAUAAUAUGUUUCCAGUUUUACUUUUCAUAUGAAAAUUAUCAUGUUUUUAUAAGGCUAAUGGUUCGAUUAAUUGUCCAUCAAGUCAAAUUAAUUAUCUUCUCCAUGUGAAUACAUUAA